This 73-nucleotide transfer RNA is filed under the name Serendipita indica DSM 11827. RNAcentral's name for it is "Piriformospora indica DSM 11827 tRNA". It matches the Rfam family "tRNA". Rfam says of the family: Transfer RNA (tRNA) molecules are approximately 80 nucleotides in length. Their secondary structure includes four short double-helical elements and three loops (D, anti-codon, and T loops). Lineage: Eukaryota; Fungi; Basidiomycota; Agaricomycetes; Sebacinales; Serendipitaceae. The record is from Rfam by way of RNAcentral.
AAGACUAUAGCAUAACUGGCAAUGCAACCCGCUCAUAAUGGGUUUUAAAAAAGUUCGAAUCUUUUUAGUCUUA